UACGUAGGUGGCAAGCGUUGUCCGGAUUUACUGGGCGUAAAGAGCGCGCAGGCGGUCGUUCAAGUCGCGUGUGAAAGCCCCCGGCUCAACUGGGGAGGGUCACGCGAUACUGGUCGACUCGAAGGCAGGAGAGGGUAGUGGAAUUCCAGGUGUAGCGGUGAAAUGCGUAGAUAUCUGGAGGAACACCGGUGGCGAAGGCGGCAUCCUGGACCGGCAUUGACGCUGAGGCGCGAAAGCCAGGGGAGCAAACGGG
This 253-nucleotide ribosomal RNA is filed under the name uncultured bacterium. Its description in RNAcentral is "partial 16S ribosomal RNA". It matches the Rfam family "Bacterial small subunit ribosomal RNA", at positions 524 to 776 of the family's 1533-position model. The record is from RNAcentral.